Molecule: transfer RNA, 73 nt
Filed under: [Clostridium] methylpentosum DSM 5476
Lineage: Bacteria; Bacillati; Bacillota; Clostridia; Eubacteriales; Oscillospiraceae
Description: Clostridium methylpentosum DSM 5476 tRNA
Rfam family: tRNA
About the family: Transfer RNA (tRNA) molecules are approximately 80 nucleotides in length.
Source: Rfam by way of RNAcentral
UGGGGUGUCGCCAAGUGGUAAGGCACCAGAUUCUGGCUCUGGCAUUCCGAGGGUUCAAAUCCUUCCACCCCAG